AAAAUUAUAGUUUAUUAAAAAUAUUUAAUUUGCAUUUAAAAGAAACUUUCAGUUAAUUUUA
This 61-nucleotide transfer RNA is filed under the name Proasellus hercegovinensis. Its description in RNAcentral is "transfert RNA-A(GCA)". The record is from RNAcentral. Lineage: Eukaryota; Metazoa; Arthropoda; Malacostraca; Isopoda; Asellidae.